RNAcentral lists this ribosomal RNA (492 nucleotides) under uncultured bacterium. Its description in RNAcentral is "partial 16S ribosomal RNA". It matches the Rfam family "Bacterial small subunit ribosomal RNA", at positions 29 to 507 of the family's 1533-position model. The record is from RNAcentral.
AGUGAACGCUGGCGGUAGGCCUAACACAUGCAAGUCGAACGGCAGCACAGUAAGAGCUUGCUCUUACGGGUGGCGAGUGGCGGACGGGUGAGGAAUACAUCGGAAUCUACUUUUUCGUGGGGGAUAACGUAGGGAAACUUACGCUAAUACCGCAUACGAUCUACGGGUGAAAGCAGGGGAUCUUCGGACCUUUCGCGAUUGAAUGAGCCGAUGUCGGAUUAGCUAGUUGGCGGGGUAAAGGCCCACCAAGGCGACGAUCCGUAGCUGGUCUGAGAGGAUGAUCAGCCACACUGGAACUGAGACACGGUCCAGACUCCUACGGGAGGCAGCAGUGGGGAAUAUUGGACAAUGGGCGCAAGCCUGAUCCAGCCAUACCGCGUGAGUGAAGAAGGCCUUCGGGUUGUAAAGCCCUUUUGUUGGGAAAGAAAAGCAGCAGGUUAAUACCCCGCUGUUCUGACGGUACCCAAAGAAUAAGCACCGGCUAACUUCGUG